Molecule: long non-coding RNA, 1420 nt
Organism: Bactrocera dorsalis (oriental fruit fly)
Lineage: Eukaryota; Metazoa; Arthropoda; Insecta; Diptera; Tephritidae
Exons: 2
Source: RefSeq, a predicted model, not a curated record
UUUAAACCUAAAUUUUUAUCCUGAAAAUGCGGGCUAAUCAUCAAAACUCGUAAACUUUUCUACUUUUUUGAAUUCUUUACAGCCACGUCAUAUUGCUUUGGAUUGAAGUGCUAGUAAUGUCGAACACAGCAUGCAAUAUUUGGUUUCUUGGUUCCGUUAAAUCCACAAACAUUAACAUCAAGACAAUUGGUUCUUCUUGACAGUGGCCUUGAAGGACUGGGCUCAAACGUGAGGUAUAUCAGAAAAACUCUCAAAAUAGAGAGCGCUCUAGUGGGAGUGAUUGGUGAGAUGGCCGAUACAGCCAGAAAACAUAAUCUUACCAUUAUGUGCAAGGACCUGGAUGAAAUAACCACUCUGGAAGAAAUCUGCAAUUAAUUACAAAAAAAGUUUGGUUUUUAACUCCUGGGGAAGCAUUAUAUAAAAAUUAUGCGUAAAACUCGAAGCGCCACUCAAAUAGCUCUUAUACUACAUAUGCCCACGAGCUGAGAAUGCCGCAAUCUUGCUUAAAUGCGGUAAAAUAAAAAUCAGGUGGUCCAUCUGAAACCUCCGAUAAUUUUCAGCACUACUCUGCACUCGUUGCGGAGACCAGAAGGGGGAGAUUUCAACGCAUAAUCUACUGUUUGGGGUAGCAGAAUGCAAAUCAUCGUGAGCGCCUCAUUCCAGAAGUUUUGAGUAAUACAAACCUUACAACUUUAAACAAUGGCACACAAAAUCCUUUCAAAAGGUGAAUAAAGGUUCUAUAAGCUUAGCAGGCUUACUAAGUGGAAAGUGUCAUAUAUGUACACAAAUAGCAACCACAUGGCUAAAUUGCUGAAGAUCCGUUCUCUUAAAAAGUGGAAGACUGUCGGAGAAAUACCUCUCUCGAAAGCGAAGUUGGCGGUAAAAGGAAUUUGAUACUAACGUUUUAGAGAGUGCUUCGGGUACGGCAAAGGCACCAGGCGCAGAUGCCACCCACCCCAAAGGCACCAGGCGCAGAUGGAACCCAUUGCAGCAUGCGAUGCAACUUUGUCCAGGACGAGAUAUAUACUGGUAAAACGAAUAAAUCGCCAAGCUGAGGAAGCUGUGUCACUCAGCUAGACGCCGUCUACAGCGUAACCAGGGAAGUAAAAACGAAAUCCGCCUCAAAGAAGCAUUUAAAUGCCAAAAAAAAAAUAUCUUGAAGGGAGAACCCAUGGUAAAUGAUCCUGUUUCGAAAAGGUCUGUGAAGAAGCAAACAUAGACCUGUGGAAAAGACAUAAAAAAUUUAGAAACCCGAAACCCCAAUCCGUGGAAGGUACAGCGUCUGGUUUUACUCCCACAGCCACCAGAAGAACUUUCUUCAUAUCGACGUCUGUGCAUGUUCCACACUAUUGGUCAAAUGUACGAGAGCAUUGUAAGAAACCGCUUGAAGUUAGAAAUCCAAAACCCGGCGGAUUAUCAU